Long non-coding RNA from Notechis scutatus (mainland tiger snake), 335 nucleotides. RefSeq lists it as uncharacterized. Lineage: Eukaryota; Metazoa; Chordata; Lepidosauria; Squamata; Elapidae. The record is from RefSeq and is a predicted model, not a curated record.
AAGCCAUCUAGAAUUCUCCAGGACAUCAGAAGGAGAAGAGCUCCAGAAAAGUGAAGACAACCUUUGUGCUGUAACUGACAAGCUGACAAGAUGUGUAACAUGGAUUGUGUUGCCAAUGCCGUAAGGAUGGCUCUGAGGACCGUUAAAAGGGUAUUUGAGAAGACCAAAGAAGUGAUUGAGCACCCCUUUGAGGAACCCAAACCAGGACCUAACAAAACAGAUUGAGGUUGUGAUGGACUUCACGAUCCAUGACAUGCAGAGAUCUUCUACAUUAUUAAAGAACACCAUGUAAUAUCGGGUCAAAAUUCCCCAAAAGAAUAAAAGUCAUAUUGACC